This 124-nucleotide transfer-messenger RNA is filed under the name Vibrio parahaemolyticus. Its description in RNAcentral is "partial transfer-messenger RNA". It matches the Rfam family "transfer-messenger RNA", at positions 236 to 374 of the family's 374-position model. From Rfam's summary of the family: Bacterial tmRNA, also known as 10Sa RNA or SsrA, is named for its dual tRNA and mRNA-like properties. Its role is to liberate the mRNA from a stalled ribosome. To accomplish this part of the tmRNA is used as a reading frame that ends in a translation stop signal. Lineage: Bacteria; Pseudomonadati; Pseudomonadota; Gammaproteobacteria; Vibrionales; Vibrionaceae. The record is from RNAcentral.
UCAGGAUAGUCAUUCAUUAGCGUGUCGGUUCGCAGGUGGAUGGUGAAUUUAAAGAUCGACUAAGCAUGUAGUACCAAUGAUGAAAGGUUUUCGGACGCGGGUUCAACUCCCGCCAGCUCCACCA